Molecule: ribosomal RNA, 435 nt
Filed under: uncultured bacterium
Lineage: Bacteria
Description: partial 16S ribosomal RNA
Rfam family: Bacterial small subunit ribosomal RNA
Source: RNAcentral
AGCGAGCGCUGGCGGCAGGCUUAACACAUGCAAGUCGAGCGGGCACCUUCGGGUGUCAGCGGCAGACGGGUGAGUAACACGUGGGAACGUACCCUUCGGUUCGGAAUAACGCUGGGAAACUAGCGCUAAUACCGGAUACGCCCUUAUGGGGAAAGGUUUACUGCCGAAGGAUCGGCCCGCGUCUGAUUAGCUAGUUGGUGGGGUAACGGCCUACCAAGGCGACGAUCAGUAGCUGGUCUGAGAGGAUGAUCAGCCACACUGGGACUGAGACACGGCCCAGACUCCUACGGGAGGCAGCAGUGGGGAAUAUUGGACAAUGGGCGCAAGCCUGAUCCAGCCAUGCCGCGUGAGUGAUGAAGGCCUUAGGGUUGUAAAGCUCUUUUGUCCGGGACGAUAAUGACGGUACCGGAAGAAUAAGCCCCGGCUAACUUCGUG